RNAcentral lists this unclassified non-coding RNA (497 nucleotides) under Hevea brasiliensis (rubber tree). Lineage: Eukaryota; Viridiplantae; Streptophyta; Magnoliopsida; Malpighiales; Euphorbiaceae. The record is from RNAcentral.
GAUUUUUUUUUUUUUUUUGGAAACAAAAAGGAUGCAUCCUAAGUUUCACAAUCUGGGUUUCAAUCUUUUCGCCCUAAACAAAUAGAGAGGCAUAUUCUCAAGAAGAGAAGUACUAUUGAAUGAGGUCAAUGUCAAGUCCCUUGAGUUUCACCGCCCAUUGAACUCGUCCCUGGAGUGGGCGAAGCUCCCCUUAAGCUGAGUUCACUGCGAGCAAAUUGUUGUCGCCUUAAACUCGAGACCAAGGGUACCAUUUCCUCCAUUUCUUCACCAUACGUCCUUAGUUCCUUCAGCAUGUCUACCCACACAUUUGGCCUCUUAUUUCGCAAAGAUCUACCAGCUUUGACUAUGGCAAGGGGCAAUCCUGCACAUUUUUCUACAAUUUCAGUCGCUAUACGACGCAAGUACGGUUCUUCGGAAACAGAUGCAGUGAUUUCAAACAAAUUCAAUGCCUCUUCUUUUGAAAGGACUUCAAGUGGAAACACUUUCUGCGCACCCAU